Long non-coding RNA from Raphanus sativus (radish), 1823 nucleotides. RefSeq lists it as uncharacterized. The record is from RefSeq and is a predicted model, not a curated record. The transcript is spliced from 10 exons. NCBI's taxonomy places the organism in Eukaryota, Viridiplantae, Streptophyta, Magnoliopsida, Brassicales, Brassicaceae.
CCUAAUUUUUCUUCACGUUCUUUCGAAUUCCACCUUUUUCCAGUUCUUAUCUCUCCAAAUCCGUUUCGAUGAGUAAUUCACCACAUAACUCUGCUCUAAUCAAACCUUGAUUAAACUCAUUCAAUGGAUUCUUUCACCUUCUUCUCUGUUUUUUUAUGUUUAUAAAUCUCAUUUCCUAUCUUAGGUUUCCAUCGAAGUUUAUAAGAUUCUCUCUACUCAUCGCGAUGAAACCCACCGGCAACUCUUCAAGUCUCCAGCGACGGUAAGACCAGCAAGACGCCCUGCGACCUGCGAGUAUCCUCAGACUACGUUGGUGGUGGUUUAAGAACCGCCGCUUCAUGUAGCUGGGACCUCGAGAAGUUCGAGUGCCAAGCUGAGGUUCGUUUCUACUAAAGUUUUUAUUUUUAGUCAUGGGAACUUGAAAUGAAUGUGAAAGUUUGAGACUUUAUCACUGGCAGUAAUGCAAGUGAUGCUUUGAUAAGCUGAGGUUCUUGAGUGUGACAGAGCCUGCUUUGCUUGGAGAUGGUGGUUACAAAGGAAGAACUUAUAGACUGUCUGUCUUGGAACCAUUUCUCAGAGUGGUACUUCCAAAUUCUUGAAGGCUCUUAAGGAAAACAAGAAUCUUGGUGCUGACAAGACAUGUUUCUUCUUAUCAAUCCUCGGGACGAAGGUGAUUUCACCAAGACCCAUCUCCAGUGCUCAAGUUGUAUAAUAAAGAGCUACCAGACAUGAACUACGCCUCAAACAGUAGGAAGCAAUCUGCUUUCCUUAAGGGAUGCGUCUCUAAAGGGUGCUUUAGCUGUUAACUCUGAUGGUCGUUACUUGGCGACUAGAGGAAUCAGAGUUUUGUUAUUACUUCAUCAUGCGUUACUUUGAAGAAUUGGUGACUCAGGGUGUGAUCGUGGAACAGUCAUGGCCAUUUUGGUCAAGCAUCUGAAGAUGUUUGCAGCUUCCAAUGAAGAUCUCUUCCAAGAAAUUACCCUACCUCUAAGGCUUUGAUACUGGAAAGAGCCAGUGUGCAACUCUCCACCUACGGGGAUACAAAGUUGGCAAGGGGUGGGUGUUUGUUUGUGAACUGAUACGUCCGGUCAAAGAGUCAAAGGAAGAAACCAGAGAUUGCUGACGUGGAAUCACUCGAACUGAAGCAGAAGGUUUUCUGUUAGAGGAAGCUGAAGCUUUAAAUAGAUUGUUUUCUUCUUCGUUGGAGUUUAUGCGUUUACAACUGGAGAUUAGUGUGAGAUCGUGAGGUCUUGAGGCGAUCCUCUCAUGGAGGAUUCAUAUUGAGAAGUUGAUGGGACCAAUCCGAUAUCUUCUUGAGACUACUCUGGUUGUAAUUGUAUCAUUGAUUAGUAAUACAAGAGUUGGAUUCAUUGGAAGACGUUAAGGUUGAUUUACAGAGUUUAUAGGUAGCAAUCUUAACAUAAACUUAAUAAGGUGAUAGAUGCUAAAUGAAUCAAAAGGUGCUUGAUAAUUUUCUGUUCUCUAUUUUUUUAGUAUAAACACACAUUUUUCUCAAAUAAUUAAACAUAGGUAUUUCUUGAAAUUUCUCAAAGUUUAAACUGGCAGGGAGUUGAAGGAAUUUAAUAAUCCUAUACAGAAUCCUGACAUCAGAUCUCUAUCUAUAGACCAUACUUGCAACCAACCGACCGCUAGCUUCAGCCCCUGUUACAGACAAUUUUAUGGCUGUUUCAGCCUUCUCCAAGUGUCGCAGCUAUUCUUUCAGGAUGGAUGGCUAAUCCAUCUAUGGCACCUCAUCGUUCUUCAUCUGCAGGUCCUAUAGGCUUGGGUUCUUCAAACAACACAUAGAGCAAGGCCGUGUGGAA